This 96-nucleotide small nucleolar RNA is filed under the name Plasmodium malariae. RNAcentral's name for it is "small nucleolar RNA snoR18". It matches the Rfam family "small nucleolar RNA snoR18". The record is from Rfam by way of RNAcentral. Lineage: Eukaryota; Apicomplexa; Aconoidasida; Haemosporida; Plasmodiidae.
UAUAAAGGCUCAUGAUGAUUUCAAUGAUAGGACAGAAAACAAAUUUUGUGUUGACGAAAAAUAAAGCCGAUAUUAAUGAAAUUACUGAACACUUUU